CCUAGGGGGGCUGCAGUAAGGAAUAUUGGGCAAUGGACGCAAGUCUGACCCAGCCAUGCCGCGUGAAGGAAGACGGCCCUAUGGGUUGUAAACUUCUUUUCUCAGGGGGUAAACUCCGGAACGUGUUCCGGACUGAAAGUACCUGAGGAAUAAGCAUCGGCUAACUCCGUGCCAGCAGCCGCGGUAAUACGGAGGAUGCGAGCGUUAUCCGGAUUCAUUGGGUUUAAAGGGUGCGCAAGCGGACGGAUAAGAAAUUCUGAUGCUCAACAUCAGCCGUGCCUUCGAUACUGUAUAUCUAGAGUCAAGUUGGAGUAGGCGGAAUGUGUUGUGUAGCGGUGAAAUGCUUAGAUAUAACACAGAACACCGAUCGCGAAGGCAGCUUACUAAACUUUGACUGACGCUCAUGCACGAAAGCGUGGGGAUCAAACAGGAUUAGAUACCCCAGUAGUC
This 450-nucleotide ribosomal RNA is filed under the name uncultured bacterium. RNAcentral's name for it is "partial 16S ribosomal RNA". It matches the Rfam family "Bacterial small subunit ribosomal RNA", at positions 338 to 795 of the family's 1533-position model. The record is from RNAcentral.